GACGAACGCUGGCGGCGUGUUUAGCACAUGCAAGUCGAACGGAAAGGCCCUUCGGGGUACUCGAGUGGCGAACGGGUGAGUAACACGUGGGUGAUCUGCCCUGCACUUUGGGAUAAGCCUGGGAAACUGGGUCUAAUACCGAAUAGGACCACGCGCUUCAUGGUGUGUGGUGGAAAGCUUUUGCGGUGUGGGAUGGGCCCGCGGCCUAUCAGCUUGUUGGUGGGGUAAUGGCCUACCAAGGCGACGACGGGUAGCCGGCCUGAGAGGGUGACCGGCCACACUGGGACUGAGAUACGGCCCAGACUCCUACGGGAGGCAGCAGUGGGGAAUAUUGCACAAUGGGCGCAAGCCUGAUGCAGCGACGCCGCGUGAGGGAUGACGGCCUUCGGGUUGUAAACCUCUUUCAAUAGGGACGAAGCGCAAGUGACGGUACCUAUAGAAGAAGCACCGGCCAACUACGUG
RNAcentral lists this ribosomal RNA (462 nucleotides) under uncultured bacterium. RNAcentral's name for it is "partial 16S ribosomal RNA". It matches the Rfam family "Bacterial small subunit ribosomal RNA", at positions 28 to 507 of the family's 1533-position model. The record is from RNAcentral.